UCCCUUAUAGCUCAGUUGGUAAAGCAUCUGCCUGCAAUGCAGGAGACCUCGGUUCAAUUCCUGGGUCAGGAA
Ovis aries (sheep) is the source of this 72-nucleotide transfer RNA. It matches the Rfam family "tRNA". From Rfam's summary of the family: Transfer RNA (tRNA) molecules are approximately 80 nucleotides in length. Their secondary structure includes four short double-helical elements and three loops (D, anti-codon, and T loops). The record is from Rfam. Lineage: Eukaryota; Metazoa; Chordata; Mammalia; Artiodactyla; Bovidae.